CUGACCUCAAAGUUCCUGCUUAUUCAGCCUCACUCCUACCAAAUCAUUUUUAAAUUUAGUCAGAGCACACUGACGGAGGCAAGUGUCAUCCUGGGUUUAGAAGCCAAAAACACGGUGGAGUCAAAUUCAAUUAAUUAGGGCGACUUCCUCCCACCAUGGUUCUGUCAACAGUCUCCUCUCUAGGCAACCAUUGACCACCUCCCCACACACUGGGCCCCUCCCACUUUCAUUUGUAUCGCUCCGGAGGCCAGAGGAAGACAUUACAAGAGACUGGACAGAAAAGCAAACUGGUGUUACUAACCUGGGAAGGAGAGAACAGACAGCAGAGUCUCUUCUUUUCCAGAUUAAGAUGGCAAUGAAACAGAUGAGCCCCAAAAGCAAAACAGGAAGGAGAAAGAAUAGUGAAAAGUCAUGAGAGGGUGAUGUUAAUCUUUCACUGAUAUUGGGAAAUUAGAAAACAACCAGAAGUAGCUUCUGCCCUACUCCAAACAAGAUAAAAACACAGGCUACUAAGCAAGAAAGCCAGGAAUCUCUGCAAAGAGUGAGGGAAACUAUUGGGAAUAAAGUAUGAACCACAAUAUUCAUUUAAUUUUUGCUCUAUUCAGGACUUGUGCUAGACACUAAGAGGUGUUUUGGAGAAAGACUAUUCUCGAAUCAUUUAAUGUCUAAAGUUAAAGGGAGGGGGUGAAAUUAGUUCACAACUAUAAAAUGCACAUAAAGUACACAUUACAUGACCCUUGCUGCUGCCAAGAAACAUUCAGAAAUUAC
This 768-nucleotide long non-coding RNA is filed under the name Fukomys damarensis (Damara mole-rat). Its description in RNAcentral is "lncRNA (ENSFDAG00000023786.1)". Lineage: Eukaryota; Metazoa; Chordata; Mammalia; Rodentia; Bathyergidae. The record is from RNAcentral.